GUGGGGAAUCUUGGACAAUGGGGGCAACCCUGAUCCAGCCAUGCCGCGUGAACGAUGAAGGCCUUAGGGUUGUAAAGUUCUUUCAGCUGGGAAGAUAAUGACGGUACCAGCAGAAGAAGCCCCGGCUAACUCCGUGCCAGCAGCCGCGGUAAUACGGAGGGGGCUAGCGUUGUUCGGAAUUACUGGGCGUAAAGCGCACGUAGGCGGACCAUCAAGUUAGGGGUGAAAUCCCGGGGCUCAACCCCGGAACUGCCUUUAAAACUGUUGGUCUGGAGUUCGAGAGAGGCGAGUGGAAUUCCGAGUGUAGAGGUGAAAUUCGUAGAUAUUCGGAGGAACACCAGUGGCGAAGGCGGCUCGCUGGCUCGAUACUGACGCUGAGGUGCGAAAGCGUGGGGAGCAAACAGGAUUAGAAACCCGAGUAGUCC
This 425-nucleotide ribosomal RNA is filed under the name uncultured bacterium. RNAcentral's name for it is "bacterial SSU rRNA". It matches the Rfam family "Bacterial small subunit ribosomal RNA", at positions 354 to 796 of the family's 1533-position model. The record is from RNAcentral.